CAGUAGCCACGGUAAUACGUAGGUGGCAAGCGUUGUCCGGAAUUAUUGGGCGUAAAGGGCUCGCAGGCGGUUUCUUAAGUCUGAUGUGAAAGCCCCCGGCUCAACCGGGGAGGGUCAUUGGAAACUGGGGAACUUGAGUGCAGAAGAGGAGAGUGGAAUUCCACGUGCAGCGGUGAAAUGCGUAGAGAUGUGGAGGAACACCAGUGGCGAGGGCGACUCUCUGGUCUGUAACUGACGCUGAGGAGCGAAAGCGUGGGGAGCGAACAGGAUUAGAUACCCCCGUAGUCCCUGUCUCUUAUAC
This 301-nucleotide ribosomal RNA is filed under the name uncultured bacterium. RNAcentral describes it as "partial 16S ribosomal RNA". It matches the Rfam family "Bacterial small subunit ribosomal RNA", at positions 509 to 807 of the family's 1533-position model. The record is from RNAcentral.